UUAGAUGAAGCCAAAGGUAGAGGCAUUUCACUGUUAAUGAAAUAAUUGAUUAUAAAUUAAUCCAACUAAA
RNAcentral lists this transfer RNA (70 nucleotides) under Poecilocoris druraei. Its description in RNAcentral is "tRNA-Asn". It matches the Rfam family "tRNA". From Rfam's summary of the family: Transfer RNA (tRNA) molecules are approximately 80 nucleotides in length. Their secondary structure includes four short double-helical elements and three loops (D, anti-codon, and T loops). Lineage: Eukaryota; Metazoa; Arthropoda; Insecta; Hemiptera; Scutelleridae. The record is from RNAcentral.